UGGCGAACGGGUGAGUAACACGUGGGUGAUCUGCCCUGCACUUCGGGAUAAGCCUGGGAAACUGAGUCUAAUACCGGAUAGGACGAUGGUUUGGAUGCCAUUGUGGAAAGUUUUUCGGUGUGGGAUGAGCUCGCGGCCUAUCAGCUUGUUGGUGGGGUAAUGGCCUACCAAGGCGUCGACGGGUAGCCGGCCUGAGAGGGUGUACGGCCACAUUGGGACUGAGAUACGGCCCAG
RNAcentral lists this ribosomal RNA (234 nucleotides) under uncultured Actinomycetales bacterium. RNAcentral describes it as "partial 16S ribosomal RNA". It matches the Rfam family "Bacterial small subunit ribosomal RNA", at positions 96 to 334 of the family's 1533-position model. Lineage: Bacteria; Bacillati; Actinomycetota; Actinomycetes; Actinomycetales. The record is from RNAcentral.